Molecule: long non-coding RNA, 2595 nt
Organism: Folsomia candida
Lineage: Eukaryota; Metazoa; Arthropoda; Collembola; Entomobryomorpha; Isotomidae
Exons: 8
Source: RefSeq, a predicted model, not a curated record
UUGAUGUAAAUAAAUUUAUUAAUAAUUGUUAUAAAAAAGUUAUUUUCUACUACAAAUUUAUUGCACAACGUCACAAAGAAAAGGGGCAUCCGCGAAAGUGGAUGUGAAUCAGGACACGCAAUCCCAUAAUAGAAUAGGGAGCGUUACACCCUCCAGCAGAUUCAAUAAUUAUAUAGCCUGUAAUACAAUAACAUUCAUGCUGGCCAACUUUGCGGGGAACAUUAGUCUGGGUGCAAAGUGAUGGCACCUACGGUGAAUAGAAAUCAAAUUGACACCAUGUCACAACUUCAUUCCCUGCUUCCUUCCGUUCCGGGAGAGGAUUUUAGUCUUGCACACGUCACUAAAAUGAAUUCAAGCCUCGCAACUCUCGCCAAACUUUUGAAGCAGACUGGCGAUGGUAUUAUCUUGUCAAAUUCUACAUGGAUUGAUAUUGCUCAGAGGAAUUUUCAUAUGGUGGAAGAUUUUCAAUUCUUCUCCCCCGCACACAAAGGAACAAUCCCAAUAUCGGACCGAUACCAAACUUUAGAGUAUUCUACCUGAUCCGUUCCAGCUUUACCUCGUCGGAGGACGGAUUGAGAUAUCUGGCUUACGAGAACCAAGAAUGUUUUAGAGACUACUUUAUUUAAACCAGACAGGAUGGAGAAGCUGAAAUCGACCGAAUAAUGGACUCACGAGCCGUCUGGUUAGACGACUUCUGUUCGAAAUUUCUUCCGGUCCAGAGAAAGCACAGAGAAGGGAGGAAAGCAGCUGUACUUAUUUAUUUACAAAAUGCAUUUCCAUACAAGGGAAAAAAUUCGCUUUUCCAGUUUUUUGUUUCCUAUUACCACACCACCAUUCACAAAAAUUUCUUUCUCCGUCCCACACACCGCAAGCUCUCAACCAAGGAUAUAAUCCUGUUUUCACCAAGAAUUUCACCAAGCAUAACUUUCCCUGAAAUGGGUCUCCAGCGUGAAAUGUGUGCCCAUGUAAGUACGAACCUUGAACAUCAUCACGGUCCAAAAUACCCCAAGGAAAUUACUUAAUUCAUAUUUCUUUUAAUUUAUUCCGUUACAAACAAACCUCAACUCUACACACGGAAAAGUCCAAGGUUUCUCCCGUAGUAAAUACAAUUUACCCUACGCCCGUGUAUAUAGCGAUGAAAAUGAAAACAAACACGGCCAUUUUAAUCAGUUUGUGUUGGUGGUGACGGUAAAAGGUGAACCAUGCAAAUAAGGCAUAUGAAUUGGUGAGCUGCUGCUUUAUUACCUUGCUAAUGCUCUUGGCACGCAGCCUGCCUACUCAACCAGGCGAAGGAUAGACAGGAACUUGCAGCCCAAAAAGUAAAAAUUCAUCAGACCAUGAGGAGGAUGAGUGAGUGAGUGAGAGGUUGCUGCUGUGUGCCAUCACAAACAGAUAAUUUGCAACGGCAACGCAAAUCUCACCCGGGCAGACUUUCACUUAAUAUGCAUACUAAUACGUAUCUGCAGUUAGUUUACUACUACUCCAUGAGCUCUGCUUUCCUUGCUCUGUUAUGCUUUUGUUGUCGAUCAGGGAUAGAAAAUUAAAAUGAAAUUUUGAGCCCUAUGUGGAUCAAAGGGAUUCCAUUAGUUGGCAACCAACCUUCCCUCUCUCUUCCUCUCCGACGUGCAUACACUCGAUUGUUUUGUUCGCAGGGAACUCACAAAUGCAAAGUAUUACCUGGAUUGGCUGGUCUAUCAUCUAAAUUUCUAUUAGAUAUGCUGCUGCCACUCUUUUUGUAAAAUGUGGAAAUUAUUUAUGUCCAACGGGAUAAAAAGAAGGAACGGUCAGGUUUAAAGAAGUGCUUUGAUGGGUGGGGCUGAAAAUAUUUACUGCUUCUUCUCUAAACUAACAUGUUGCAUUUAUGGCAGCAACGUCUUGUAUGAAAUGAUGAGAAUCGGUAAUGAGUAAGGUAUAAAAAAGAGGUAUUAUGUAAGUGUAAUUCCGUAUUGGUUCGUCCAGUAAACAUGAAUAUUUACCUUGAUCAAGUCUUUUUGUACUUUGCUCAUCCAAACCAGUUUCUGAUGUUUUUUUGCCUCAAGAGAAUACACGAAAAAACUUUUCGCUUAUUCUUGGAAAAGCUGUCUGUCUGUUGACGACGUAGAAAAUUUUAUCCAGUAUUUUUAAGCAGAUGUCAAGAAAAAUCCGUUUUGAAAAUGUGGAUCUUCCGACUCGUCAUAGUUUUAAUAUUCGUGUGCACCUUCGUCUUGUACAAUUGUUCAGGACAGCACUUCCCUGCAAGUAAACCAGGCUUGACUUGGAAUCAGCGGACGAAUUAUACUACAAAUAUAUCCGGGUAUCUGGCCAGUAUUCCUGAAAAUAAUUGUCCUGCAGGGAUGAUUUAUUCCAGGGUUUCUCAGAAAUGUGUGCGAUCCCAAUUGUCCGUCUCUAAAGGAGUAGGACGACGAUGAGAGAUUAAAAUAUAAAAUAAUCUACCUACAAUAUACAUUCACAGAUGAGGUUAAAUUUUGCAAUAUUUUAUAUAUUUUAAGUAUUGUAAUAAUUUUAAAAAUUCGUGAUAAGUGUAAUUUCUUAUCGGUGAGUAAUUGAAGCUGUUACGAGAGCAUUUUCCAGUAAAAUAAAUUUAUCACACAAAUA